GCAGUCUGCAACUCGACUGCAUGAAGCUGGAAUCGCUAGUAAUCGCGAAUCAGCAUGUCGCGGUGAAUACGUUCCCGGGUCUUGUACACACCGCCCGUCACACCAUGGGAGUCGGAAAUGCCCGAAGCCAGUGACCCAACCUUUAAGGAGGGAGCUGUCGAAGGCAGGUCUGGUAACUGGGGUGAAGUCGUAACAAGGUACC
RNAcentral lists this ribosomal RNA (202 nucleotides) under uncultured bacterium. RNAcentral describes it as "partial 16S ribosomal RNA". It matches the Rfam family "Bacterial small subunit ribosomal RNA", at positions 1300 to 1500 of the family's 1533-position model. The record is from RNAcentral.